AGACCUGGUGCAGGGCCUGGUGGUCACAGUUGCUUGGUGACUGAGAGUUGUUUGUUAUGAAUGAAUGAAUGAAUGAAUGAUGAAUGAAUGAAUGAAUCCCAGGUUGGUAAAGACAUGGGACUUUGGACCAAGAGGUGGGACGAGCACAUGGGGUCUCAGGGCAGCCAGGACUGAGUCCGCAAAGUAAGGUAGGACCCCGCUCCCUCCCGUGCAUUCUCAUUCUGGGCCAAUUUCCAGUUCCUGGAAUUGUUCCUGGAAUUGGGUAAGAGGCAUGAAGGAAGGAGAGACUCACCGGCAGUUUCCGUUCUCCGCGCCCAUCUCUCAAGGAGCCUGGAUGCAGGAGGCAGACAGAAGGACACGAGUCACCAUGCUUCCCCGCCCCUUCGGGGGUCAGACUCACAAAGGGACAACCACAGGGGCAGGAGUGGAGCCAGCACAGAGCUGCCAACACGGAACACCUGGGGUGCCCACUCCCCCACUCCCCACCCCUCCCUGGGGCAUGGUAUUGCAUCUUCCAGCUGCAGAAACUGAAACUUGAGGAGCUCGUGCUCAGCCAGGCCUGCUUGUUGGAGCUCUAUGGCAUUUGCAGGCAGGCGGUGGAGAAGACACCCCUCCUUAGCCACCUCAUUGUGGCUGUCACUGUGGCUUGGGCAACCAGGGUAGCCUGCGGUGCCAGCAACUGGAAACCCAUCCCUCCUGGGUCAGCAGCUGUGCUGGCCAAGAAGAUCCAUCUCCCUUUCUCUCCAGCUCCUUGCUGGAGAAGGGACAGGGCAGCUGAAGUAGAAUGAAAACAUCAGUGCAGAGGAAUUCACACAAUGACCAGGAAGGAAUCUUCCAGGAAAAGGUAAAGGCAAAGGAAAUCCAGAGGUGGGCAGUAGUUAAAGGGGUAAAAGUAGAUUCUAACCAGGGCACCUGGGUGGCUCAGUGGGUUAAAGCCUCUGCCUU
This is a long non-coding RNA of Mustela erminea (ermine), 945 nucleotides long. RefSeq lists it as uncharacterized. The record is from RefSeq and is a predicted model, not a curated record. NCBI's taxonomy places the organism in Eukaryota, Metazoa, Chordata, Mammalia, Carnivora, Mustelidae. The transcript has 3 exons.